GGUGCAUGGCCGUUCUUAGUUGGUGGAUUGAUUUGUCUGGUUUAUUCCGAUAACGAACGAGACUCUAACCUGCUAAAUAGACUUCUGGUAGCUUGGCCAGUUGACUUCUUAGAGGGAUAAGUGGUGUUCAGCCACAUGAAAGUGAGCAAUAACAGGUCUGUGAUGCCCUUAGAUGUUCGGGGCUGCACGCGCGCUACACUGGUUGUAUCAGUAUGCUUCUAUCUUGGUCGAAAGGCCUUGGCAAACCUCUGAAAAACAGCCAUGAUUGGGAUAGGGAAUUGCAAUUAUUUCCCUUCAACGAGGAAUUCCCAGUAAGUAUGAGUCAUCAGCUCAUUCUGAUUACGUCCCUGCCCUUUGU
RNAcentral lists this ribosomal RNA (358 nucleotides) under Rhabditidoides sp. RGD243. RNAcentral describes it as "SSU rRNA". It matches the Rfam family "Eukaryotic small subunit ribosomal RNA", at positions 1279 to 1663 of the family's 1831-position model. Lineage: Eukaryota; Metazoa; Nematoda; Chromadorea; Rhabditida; Diplogasteridae. The record is from RNAcentral.